AGUGAUGGUUUUGAUGAAAGCUUAUCCCUCACGGUCUCCAAACCUCAGGCACCAUCAGUCGACUCCUCUAAAGACCCAAAUAAAACUCGAAAAAUCAAGACAGUCGUGCAGGAGAUAGUGAAUGGCGAAGUGGUCUCAUCCCAGGUUCAGGAACUUGAAGAAGCGAUGUAAGGCCUCACUCGGGCUCCUCUGGAAUGCGAAGUUUACGGCUAGAAGUUACUGCUUCUGUGUGUUAUACUCAUUCAGCAUCUGUUUUGGCCAGUUUCCUUUCCCUGGGAUUCUCUGUUCACGCUGGGCCUUGUUAGCAUUUCUGAAACAAUAUCCAAUUACACAUCUCUGUGGCUGUGCAGAUCUUCAUUGCAACCCCAGAUCUCCUUACACCUCUCUGGGCCUGAAGGGGUCUUUUCCACUGUUUUUUCUGGUUUCCUGGACCAUUUGUUUCAUCCCAAAGCUUUGAUGGAACAGUAUGGGUUUAACAGCGCUAAUUUGAAUUAAAGAUUCAUGGCAAUGAAGUGAA
RNAcentral lists this long non-coding RNA (517 nucleotides) under Rattus norvegicus (Norway rat). Its description in RNAcentral is "long non-coding RNA NONRATT005999". Lineage: Eukaryota; Metazoa; Chordata; Mammalia; Rodentia; Muridae. The record is from RNAcentral.